GGGGUAUUAGUGAAACGGUUAUCACUAUGGAUUGUCUAUCCAUCAUUACCAGUUCGAAUCUGGUAUACCUCG
RNAcentral lists this transfer RNA (72 nucleotides) under bacterium TMED88. RNAcentral's name for it is "tRNA-Asp". It matches the Rfam family "tRNA". From Rfam's summary of the family: Transfer RNA (tRNA) molecules are approximately 80 nucleotides in length. Their secondary structure includes four short double-helical elements and three loops (D, anti-codon, and T loops). The record is from RNAcentral.